ACUCAAAUGAAUUGACGGGGGCCCGCACAAGCAGCGGAGCGUGUGGUUUAAUUCGAUGCAACGCGAAGAACCUUACCUAGACUUGACAUGACCCGGAAAGGCCUGGAAACAGGUCCCUCUUCGGACCGGGCCACAGAUGUUGCAUGGCUGUCGUCAGCUCGUGUCGUGAGAUGUUGGGUUAAGUCCCGCAACGAGCGCAACCCUCGUGUGAUGUUGCAAAUCAUCGCAGACUGCCGGUACAAGCCGGAGGAAGGUGGGGAUGACGUCAAGUCCGCAUGGCUCUUACGUCUAGGGCUACACACACGCUACAAUGGUCGGGACAGAGCGCAGCCACGGGGCGACCCGGAGCGAAUCGCAAAACCCGAUCUCAGUUCGGAUGGCAGGCUGCAACCCGCCUGCCUGAAGUCGGAGUUGCUAGUAACCGCGUGUCAGCAUAGCGCGGUGAAUAUGUUCCCGGGCCUUGUACACACCGCCCGU
Molecule: ribosomal RNA, 477 nt
Filed under: uncultured bacterium
Lineage: Bacteria
Description: partial 16S ribosomal RNA
Rfam family: Bacterial small subunit ribosomal RNA
Source: RNAcentral